Oreochromis aureus is the source of this 668-nucleotide long non-coding RNA. The record is from Ensembl. Lineage: Eukaryota; Metazoa; Chordata; Actinopteri; Cichliformes; Cichlidae.
GAAAAACCACCACACUAGAAAGUAACUCUACAAGUGAAGUUACCAUGAGGUAUGCAUUUAUUUUUCAUACGUACAAGAGGCCAGUUCAAGGUGUGGGAGCCCAGCGCUUCAACUCCCAUCAUUCCAGGGCACGCUCUAUUAUAGAGCGUGCUUUUGGAAUGAUGAAGACGAGGUUCCGGGCCAUCGUCCUUCAAGCGCUGGAGGUGCACCACACCUUUGUACCACAUGUCAUAACAGCAUGUGCUGUUCUACACAACAUCUGCCUCGGUGCUGAUGACGCUAUGGACCCGGAGGAUGCACCUGAGGAUGAUGUGCAAGAUGAGGGGGAGAUGGGUUUGGAGGCAGUCAGUGGUGCUCCCUGGCGGGACCAGCUAUCUGCUGAGGUGUCUGCCCCUGAGGAGCUACCCCAAGACCAUGGAUAUAUUUAAACAGUGACAUGGCAGCCAUCAGUUACAUCAGCCCUGCAAACCCAAGUGACAGAUGAUGCGGUGGACAGUGGAAAAGAGCAUCCCUAGACCUUAUGGAUAAUAAUAAUUCUUAAGAAUUCAUGUUUUUUGUUGUUUUUUCUAUUGUUACUUUUGUCAGACAUUUCAAUUAAUUGUGUUGAUAAAAUUUAUGUUGUACAUAGUUUCUUUAAAAAAAAAGGAAAAACAAUGCAAAUAAAGGUG